ACCAGCCCUGUGCUGGAGAACUCUGGUUUCAGGGCCGCUACUUACCAUGGUAGCUCAUGGCUGUGCUCUUUCUUUCUUCCUUGUUCCACUUCACAACAUCUCACACAGGACAAAAACAGAGCAGAUAUGUUCAGAUCCUCUGAUGUUAAUUGAGGCCACUUUGCUUUUUGAGAAAUACAAAAUUUGACCCCAAAACAUCCAUCCAGAUUGUAUACAGAGUCUAUAGUGACCUCUCCAAUAUGACCUCCUGCUUUAACAGAAUCAGUUCAGGUUCUGGAUAUUUUCACCAAUCUCAAGUUAGCUGUAACUGCUGGAGUUUUCAUCAAUUCAGAUACAAAACCAUUUACUUUCUUUGAUUUCAACAAUAAGAAUCACAAAACUAGAUCUUACAUACAAAGUACACCUCACUAAAUUGGGGGAUUGGUAAAUAAAUUAAAUUAAAAGGGGUUAUUAUCUAUUGCCAUUUAUAUAUUUCCUUGUAACCAUUUCCAAUCUUGGUACCCAUCCCUCAUCCGAUGGUGCUUGGCGCUCCUCUGUGCAAAUGUCCUCUCUUCUAUUUCCACAAAGGCAAAAUGCUGUUUUCUAUAUUUAGGAAUACUAUCAACUUGUUGUUACUGUUGCCAUUACUUCAUAGUCACCUACUCAUAUGUACAGUUUCUAAACUAAAAAAUGGCAAGAAACUUGUCAAUGAAGACAAUUCCAUGUGGAAUUUUAGGCGUGUUUCUUUUUCUGCAGAGUAAUUGACUGAUUCUCAAAUUUUACGGGGCUAGUUUAGGCACUUAGUAAAAAAUCAGGACGGAUGCAUAAUAGCCAAAUGCCAAAACAGGCCAGCUUUAGCCAGCGUGAUAAGGAAGUCCUCUAUUCU
Molecule: long non-coding RNA, 865 nt
Filed under: Pan troglodytes (chimpanzee)
Lineage: Eukaryota; Metazoa; Chordata; Mammalia; Primates; Hominidae
Description: long non-coding RNA NONPTRT010199
Source: RNAcentral